UCCAGGGUAGCCUAGUGGACAUGGCAUCUGCCCGGUAAGCGGAACAAUGUGGGUUCGAUUCCCAUCCCUGGAU
Cordylochernes scorpioides is the source of this 73-nucleotide non-coding RNA. The record is from the annotation of a GenBank genome assembly. Lineage: Eukaryota; Metazoa; Arthropoda; Arachnida; Pseudoscorpiones; Chernetidae.